Molecule: ribosomal RNA, 281 nt
Filed under: uncultured bacterium
Lineage: Bacteria
Description: partial 16S ribosomal RNA
Rfam family: Bacterial small subunit ribosomal RNA
Source: RNAcentral
GUGCCAGCCGCCGCGGUAAUACAUAGGGGUCAAGCGUUGUCCGGAUUUAUUGGGCGUAAAGAGCUCGUAGGCGGCUCAACAAGUCGGUCGUAAAAGUUUAGGGCUCAACCCUAAAAUGUCGAUCGAUACUGUUGUGACUAGGAUACGGUAGAGGUGAAUGGAAUUCCGAGUGUAGCGGUGAAAUGCGUAGAUAUUCUGAGGAACGCCAAUUGCGAAGGCAGUUCACUGGACCGGGAUCGACGCUGAGGAUCGAAAGCUGGGGGAGCCAACAGGAUUAGAUA